Oncorhynchus masou masou (cherry salmon) is the source of this 535-nucleotide long non-coding RNA. RefSeq lists it as uncharacterized. NCBI's taxonomy places the organism in Eukaryota, Metazoa, Chordata, Actinopteri, Salmoniformes, Salmonidae. The record is from RefSeq and is a predicted model, not a curated record. The transcript is spliced from 4 exons.
UGCACACUCUCUCAGUGCUGUGGACACAGAGCCGCCACGCAUGCCACCCCUCAGCCCAUCCAGAACAACACAGCACAUGCUGCCACUUGCAGGCUGGCUACACAAACCACACAUGACUGCCCCCUCCAUCAGAGACAUGCAACUCCAACCACUCCGAAAAAACAUACAAAGCAACAUGGAUUCCUCCAAGUCAUUACAACAGAGGCCAGCUUGCUACCUGACUGAUGUCCAGUGUUACCGGGGUGACCAUCCACACUCAUCACAGGGACUGAGGAGAAACUCAGGCAUUGAACAUCGGAAUGGACUUCACCUCCUACCACAGGCCCACUACCGGAGGUCUCGCUCCAAUACUACACUGGAUUCAUGUGGUGGAUACAGCUGUUUCAACGUGGUGAAACCUUACCAGGCUGGAUACUACAUCAUUCAUCCAGAAUUUGUGUCUGAGUGCCUACGCUGAAAGUUCAACCACAUGUUCAAUAAACUGUACUGGAUGUAUCAGAGAUCUUCUGUAGUGUUUUGAUCUUGACAGCUGAUU